RNAcentral lists this ribosomal RNA (301 nucleotides) under uncultured bacterium. Its description in RNAcentral is "partial 16S ribosomal RNA". It matches the Rfam family "Bacterial small subunit ribosomal RNA", at positions 509 to 807 of the family's 1533-position model. The record is from RNAcentral.
CAGCAGCCGCGGUAACACCGAGGGUGCGAGCGUUAAUCGGAUUUACUGGGCGUAAAGCGUGCGUAGGCGGCUAAUUGAGUCGGAUGUGAAAUCCCCGAGCUUAACUUGGGAAUUGCAUUCGAUACUGGUUAGCUAGAGUGUGGGAGAGGAUGGUAGAAUUCCAGGUGUAGCGGUGAAAUGCGUAGAGAUCUGGAGGAAUACCGAUGGCGAAGGCAGCCAUCUGGCCUAACACUGACGCUGAGGUACGAAAGCAUGGGGAGCAAACAGGAUUAGAUACCCGGGUAGUCCCUGUCUCUUAUAC